GGUGGCUCGCGCCUAUAAUCCCAUCACUUUGGGAGGCUGAGAUGGGCAGAUUACCUGAGGUCAGGGGUUCAAGAGCAGCCUGGUCAAAGUGGUGAAACCCCGUCUCUACUACAAAUAGAAAAAUUAGCCAGACGUGAUGGUGCAGGCCUGUAAUCCCAGCUACUGGGGAGGCUGAGAUAGAAGAAUUGCUGGAAUCUGGGAGGCAGAGGUUGCAACCUGGGGGGUGGAGUGAGCCAAGAUCAUGCCGCUGCACUCCAACCUGCGUGACAGAGUGAGAAUCUAUUUAAAAAAAAAAAAAAGAAAGAAAAGAGAAAAUAAGGGUGCUUUUGUGGUACAACUUAAGGAACAUCAAAAAGCAUCAAUACAUAUCCCUCGUUAGAUAUUAAUAAUGCCUAGAAGUCACAUUAUUUGAGUCUUUCCUCUUAUUUAAGAUAUUGACUUCCAAGAUCAUCAACAGGAAUGCAUGAGAAAUUAGUUUAUGUGACUAGCAUUGUUCACUAAACAGUGGACUAAAGAGAAGGGAAAAUAGAGAAUUUGUUUUUGUUUUUGUUUUGUUUUUGUUUUUUUUUAGGAGAAGGGAUUGGGAAGUUCUGACACAUGGUGUACUAUUGGCAUGAAAAAACCUAGAAUGGAGAAGUGGUCUGAGAAGUAAGGAAAAGCAUAAAGCAGAAUGGGACACUGAAAAGAAGAAAGAAAGAAUCGUGAAGCAAAAGCUGCUCAUUGUACUUUGGUUUAAAACCUACCUCUCCUAGAAGUUUUUGAUAGGACUCAGCUCAUCAAUCUUUGCAAUAGCCCCAAAGUGGAAGUUAAUAGUUGUGCAAAAGAAAACACAUUAGAGAAUAUUAAAGCCUCUGCCUGGAAGAAUGAGUGCAGAGGAAAGAGGAAGCUGGACAAGGGAAGAAAGCAUUGGAGCCUGGGCCCUUCCAGAGGAAACAGAGUCAUCCUAGUAGGAGAUUGUAAUGGAAUGCUUCAGCUUGUCAGAGGUUUCCAGGAAUCUUCUGCACAAGGAACAGGAGAACCAGUGGAUAGUAUAGACCCUCAGUGAGUAAUGAGAGAAGGUUAUGUUUUACUUUGCAAUUUUUUCCAGAGCCUUUAUCUUGAGUAGCUUCCAUGUGAUUAGCAGUGUAGCAAGUGGUUCAGCAUUUGGUGGAGAAGUAUUAAAAAAAAAAUGAAGCCAGAGGCUGGCUGUGGUGCCUCACACCUGUAAUCCUAGCACUUUGGGAGGCUGAGGCAGGCACAUCGCUUGAGCUCAGAAGUUCGAGACCAGCCUGGGAAACAGUGAGACCCCAUCUCUAGAAAAAUACAAAAAUUAGCCAGGUGUGCUGGUGCAUGCCUGUAGUUCCAGCUGCUCGGGAGGAUGAGGUGGGAACAUCAUUUGAGCCCAAGAGGUUGAGGCUGCAGUGAGCCGAAAUUGUGCCACUGUACUCUAGCCUGCAUCGAUAAAGUGAGACCCUGUCUCAAAAAAAAAAAAAAAAAUUGGAGCCAGAAUAUGUGGGUUUAAGAUCUAGCUCUGCCACUUUUUAGCUGUGUGACCUUCACCAUGCUAUUACAUGUCUCUGAGUGUCAAUUUUCUCAUUUGUAAUAAUUGGAAUAUCGUCUAUCUCAUAACUCCUACUUCAGAUGGUUGCUCAGAUACAUUUCAAAUAAAAUGAAACAAUCAUUAUUUCUCAAUCUUUCCUAAUAAUAAGAAUUGCCUGGGGUUUCUGUCAAACAUGAAGAUUAUAAAGUAUUUACCCUGAGGAAGUCCGAUUUAGCCGAUUCUGUUUGAUGAGCAGAAUUUAUGCUUUUAACAAUAACCAAGAUUUUUUUUUUUUCUUCAGGCAAGUGUAGAGGACAGUGAAAUGAUAGUGCUAUGUUAUGGUAAUGGUAAUGGCAGUGGUAAUGUUAGUUAAUAUUGUGAGAAC
Molecule: long non-coding RNA, 1904 nt
Filed under: Papio anubis (olive baboon)
Lineage: Eukaryota; Metazoa; Chordata; Mammalia; Primates; Cercopithecidae
Description: lncRNA (ENSPANG00000040611.1)
Source: RNAcentral